GACGUCAACACAGAACACUGGCACGCGACGACGCUACAACAUCUUCUGUACUAACACGCUCCUCAAACGACCAUGAACCCUAUACGAGUUGACCGAGGUAGCUGCAGUGUCACCACAAGAACAAUUCGGAGCGUCUACAAAAUUUACCUGUUGCUGGAGAACUCGAUCGCAACAAUUCCUUUCCUACUCCAGUUCUACCGCGGUUAGUGGAUCCUUCCCACAGCAUUACAGUGAGUUUCCUAGUGUUAAACUACAAGAAAUUGGUCUCCAAAAAAACUGCUUUCCAGUAUCUUUGUUAUUUCUUCUACCCCAUUUGUGGGUCAUGAGCUGUAUUGCAUUACAUUCUGUGCAAGUAAAGUCAAACUUGUACAUAUUGAAUAUCCAGUAUAUGUAACCAAUAAAGUUUUUCUAUUUAUGGAAUAAUCCAAA
RNAcentral lists this long non-coding RNA (429 nucleotides) under Homarus americanus (American lobster). RNAcentral's name for it is "uncharacterized LOC121857709". The record is from RNAcentral. Lineage: Eukaryota; Metazoa; Arthropoda; Malacostraca; Decapoda; Nephropidae.